This 76-nucleotide microRNA precursor is filed under the name Myotis lucifugus (little brown bat). Its description in RNAcentral is "mir-9229 microRNA precursor family". It matches the Rfam family "mir-9229 microRNA precursor family". The record is from Rfam by way of RNAcentral. Lineage: Eukaryota; Metazoa; Chordata; Mammalia; Chiroptera; Vespertilionidae.
GAGACACCUUUAUGGGGCAGGACUUGCUUCAGUGGGGCUUUGGUGCUCACUGAGUCUGCUCCUUGAGUGUGUCGCU